AGGGCGAGGGGGACACAAGACCUCCUAUCACCUGAUUCCAGCUCCUUGGCCAGAGGAGCAGUAGCCACCUUGUCCUGGUUCAGCCUGUCUUGAAGCUGCUUAUCGAUCUGAUUUUCAAUAUCUGUCACCAUCUCUGAAGUAGAAGGGCUGACAGACAACAGAAGGGACUUCCUGCCAGGGGAGGAGCUAUGAGCAGAAGGCAGUGGGAGCCCUCUCCUUCCUUGAAGACCAGGAAGAUGUGAUAUUUAAAGUGGAAAUGAGAGAACUGAAGUUCUGGAAAGGUGAGAAUCAAAUCUACAGCCCAUUCGUUCAGCAACUUCCUGUCUCCACGCCGUGAAGUUCAGCAGCGCAGCGGCGCAGAGGGAAUUUGCACAGAUGGUUGUGGUGGCAUGGCCCCCGAUCUGUGAGGAAUUCUGGAGAAUAGAAGGGGAGCCAAAGACUGGAGGGGACACGGGUUCAAGCCCUGGUCCGGGAAGAUUCCACAUGCUGCGGAGCAACUAGGCCCGUGAGCCACAGCUACUGAGCCUGCGCUUCUGGAGCCUGUGCCCCGCAACAAGAGAGGCCGCGAUAAUGAGAGGCCCGCGCAUCGCGAUGAAGAGCGGCCCCCACUUGCCGCAACUAGAGAAAGCCCUCGCACAGAAACGAAGACCCAACACAGCCAUAAAUAAAUAAAUAAAUAAAACCCAAAAGUUAAAAAAAAAA
Long non-coding RNA from Balaenoptera acutorostrata (minke whale), 702 nucleotides. RefSeq lists it as uncharacterized. The record is from RefSeq and is a predicted model, not a curated record. NCBI's taxonomy places the organism in Eukaryota, Metazoa, Chordata, Mammalia, Artiodactyla, Balaenopteridae. The transcript has 3 exons.